UUAAUUUUGAUAGACUUUUUUGAGGUGCAUCUCUUUCUCUCCUUAGCAACUAGCAAGUCUCCAAACGAACUCAACCUUCUUACUUCGUCAGAUUCAUAUUGAAAUCAAUCGAUUAAUUAAAAGUCGAUUCCCAACUAUUAAUAAAAAUUCGCCACCACCAUCAGAGGUGGCUUUGCCAAAUCCGACCACCGAUGAAGAACAAAACCCUUUGGUUCUGAGAAUUCUGGUUCGGAUUUGGAAUGCAGAAAAUCGCUUCUCUCAUCAAUUGACUUGCUUGAUGUCGGAUCUACUGUUUUCCCUUUUUUUGGGUCGGUAUUUUUCUGGCGGUGAUGAGAGGACUCCGAGGAGACCCAAAAGGCCUCAAAGCAAACGUGAAAACCAUGGCAGCAACGGCGGAGGCGGUGGGAGUUCCUCUUCUUCGAAUACACCACCAUCAUCUGCUCCCAAAAUCCUAUUAUCUAAGCCAGAUCUCGUCACUUCUUCCGCCGAAAAAUUUAGUCGCGGCGGUGCCGGUGCUGGCGGCGAAGACGACUCCUCCGUAUCUAUUCGGUCUCGCAUUCCCUCCAUCGGCUCUCUCAACGGUCUCGCAUUCCCUCCAUCGGCUCUCUCAAUCUAAUCUCCAAUUCCUCCUGGGAUUUCCACUCAGACCGCUUUCUUCCUGUAUGUAUAUCUAUUUUCUCCCUUGUUUUUAUAUUUUUGUGUAUGUAUAUGAAUGUAAUCAUUUUUGUUAAUAGUUACCUGCUAAUAAUAUUGGCAAAACAAUACAAAGAAAAAACACAAACUUUAGUGGAAUGCGAGUCAAUUUUAUUUAGAAUUGUCAUACAAAUACAUCACAACAAAGGACACACUCUCAACUAUUCACUUUAUGCCCUAUAAAACCUAGCUAUGCCUUGAGUCUUUCCAUUUGUGAAAUAAUGCACAAGUCACGUUCUUUAUUCAUAAUAGAAAGACAUACUACCUCAAUGGGAUCACAAAUUAAUGUUGGAAAUUAAGCAGAGACUAUAAAAAAUUUGUUCCAAUUAUACAUUUGUAUGUCCCCACAAAUUCAAAAAGUAACUAGGGAGUAGAGUCUUUGUAUAUGUGCACUUUGUGGUAAAUUAGUAUUUAUAACCUAUUUUACAUUUCGUUUGUGUAAUUUUAGACAUCCUAUUGAGGCCAAAAUGCUAGGGAGUAGAGUCUUUGUAUAUGUGCACUUUGUGGUAAAUUAGUAUUUAUAACCUAUUUUACAUUUCGUUUGUGUAAUUUUAG
Molecule: long non-coding RNA, 1248 nt
Filed under: Panax ginseng (ginseng)
Lineage: Eukaryota; Viridiplantae; Streptophyta; Magnoliopsida; Apiales; Araliaceae
Description: long non-coding RNA (PGIN_LNC018513)
Source: RNAcentral